RNAcentral lists this transfer RNA (34 nucleotides) under Ostrya virginiana (American hop-hornbeam). Its description in RNAcentral is "partial tRNA-Phe". Lineage: Eukaryota; Viridiplantae; Streptophyta; Magnoliopsida; Fagales; Betulaceae. RNAcentral also lists the same sequence under 2 other names. The record is from RNAcentral.
UGGUCGGGAUAGCUCAGCUGGUAGAGCAGAGGAC